This 75-nucleotide transfer RNA is filed under the name Gracilaria vermiculophylla. RNAcentral's name for it is "Agarophyton vermiculophyllum tRNA-Ala". It matches the Rfam family "tRNA". From Rfam's summary of the family: Transfer RNA (tRNA) molecules are approximately 80 nucleotides in length. Their secondary structure includes four short double-helical elements and three loops (D, anti-codon, and T loops). Further hydrogen bonds mediate the characteristic L-shaped molecular structure. tRNAs have two regions of fundamental functional importance: the anti-codon, which is responsible for specific mRNA codon recognition, and the 3' end, to which the tRNAs corresponding amino acid is attached (by aminoacyl-tRNA synthetases). tRNAs cope with the degeneracy of the genetic code in two manners: having more than one tRNA (with a specific anti-codon) for a particular amino acid; and 'wobble' base-pairing, i.e. permitting non-standard base-pairing at the 3rd anti-codon position. The record is from RNAcentral. Lineage: Eukaryota; Rhodophyta; Florideophyceae; Gracilariales; Gracilariaceae.
GGGAGCAUAGUUUAAUUUUGGUAAAACGUAUGUUUUGCAUAUAUAAGAUUAUGGGUUCGAAUCCCAUUGUUUCCA